AACGAACGCUGGCGGCGUGGAUUAGGCAUGCAAGUCGAACGAGAAUCUGAGAGUUCAAGUUUUUCGGACAAGAACUUUUGGAGGAAAGUGGCGGAAGGGUGAGUACAACAUGGAUAAUCUACCUUCAAGUUGGGUAUAGCUUCCCGAAAGGGGAGAUAAUCCCGAAUGUGGUGAUCCGGCGCAUGCCGGAGAAUCCAAAGGCGGGGACCGCAAGGCCUGCCGCUUGGAGAUGAGUCCGUGCACUAUCAGCUAGUUGGCGGGGUAACGGCCCACCAAGGCGAUGACGGUUAGCUGGUCUGAGGGGAUGGUCAGCCACACUGGGACUGAGAUACUGCCCAGACUCCUACGGGAGGCUGCAGUCGAGAAUCAUUCGCAAUGGGCGCAAGCCUGACGGUGCGACGUCGCGUGGAGGAUGAAGGUCUUCGGAUUGUAAACUCCUGUCAUGUGGGAGAAAGUGGCCCGGGUCUGAACAGGACCGUGGGAAUGAUAGUACCACG
This 497-nucleotide ribosomal RNA is filed under the name uncultured bacterium. RNAcentral describes it as "bacterial SSU rRNA". It matches the Rfam family "Bacterial small subunit ribosomal RNA", at positions 29 to 482 of the family's 1533-position model. The record is from RNAcentral.